This 254-nucleotide ribosomal RNA is filed under the name uncultured bacterium. Its description in RNAcentral is "partial 16S ribosomal RNA". It matches the Rfam family "Bacterial small subunit ribosomal RNA", at positions 524 to 776 of the family's 1533-position model. The record is from RNAcentral.
GACGAACCGAGCGAACGUUGUUCGGAAUCACUGGGCUUAAAGGGCGCGUAGGCGGGCGGUUAAGUCUGCGGUGAAAUCCUCCAGCUCAACUGGAGAACUGCCGUGGAUACUGGCUGUCUCGAGGAAGGUAGGGGUACGUGGAACUAUCGGUGGAGCGGUGAAAUGACGUUGAUAUCGAUAGGAACUCCGGUGGCGAAGGCGACGUACUGGACCUUUUCUGACGCUGAGGCGCGAAAGCCAGGGGAGCAAACGGG